AUUGAACGCUGGCGGCAGGCCUAACACAUGCAAGUCGAACGAGUGGCGGACGGGUGAGUAAUGUCUGGGAAACUGCCCGAUGGAGGGGGAUAACUACUGGAAACGGUAGCUAAUACCGCAUACCAUCGGAUGUGCCCAGAUGUGAUUAGCUUGUAGGUGAGGUAACGGCGCACCUAGGAGACGAUCCCUAGCGUGUCUGAGAGGAUGACCAGCCAAACUGGAUCUGAGACACGGUGCAGAGUCCUACGGGAGGCAGCAGUGGGGAAUAUUGCAAAAUGGGCGACAGCCUGAUCCAGCCAUGCCGCGUGUGUGAAGAAGGUCUUCGGAUUGUAAAGCACUUGAAGUUGGGAGGCGUUACCAACAGAAUAAGCACCGGCUAACUUCGUGCCAGCAGCCGCGGUAAUU
Molecule: ribosomal RNA, 405 nt
Filed under: uncultured bacterium
Lineage: Bacteria
Description: partial 16S ribosomal RNA
Rfam family: Bacterial small subunit ribosomal RNA
Source: RNAcentral